ACAGUUACCCGUCAUCCCACCAUAGGUCCAGAGUCCAUGUACAUGUGCCGGUGUUGGCUAGGUCCUGUUGUCUGCCUGGGUGAGCCCCGGAGCAGAGCAUAAAAAGUCCAGGUUUGGAAAUCCCACACAUCAGGUUUAAAUUUUCUUUUCACUGGAUGAUCUUGAGCAGUUCUCUAUGCUUCAAUGUCCCAAUCUGGAAAAUGCUGAUAAUUGUGAAAUAAUUCUGUAAUGCAGCCCAGGGACUGGAAAAAAUGGAUUCUUUACUACUGAGGCAUUGGGAAGCCCUGACAGAGGUUUGCUCUUCACCAAACCUUCCUCAGAGUAAGACAGAGCACUCUAAAUUAGCUCCAGAAAUGACACUCUGGUUUAUUGGACAAGGUGGCCUGAAGUCUAACACAAAACAAGAUAUUCUGAGAGAUUUCAUUAGACUCCAACUUCAGAGGCAGUGCAUUAUUAGAUCCCAUGAGGUCAUUUUCCAAGAUGUGAUGGGUUGAAGAUCAAAUCGUCUACCUACUGUUGUGAAGGAAGAGUUGGGAGGACCUAAAAUCCUGGAUUACACCUUCAGUCUCCUGAGAAACUGCUGGCCACAACUACAGCUCAAGUUCCUGACAUGAGUCACUUGGAUGUUGAUCCUGCUAAUAAACAUGCGAACAAACUCGUGCAGGAACACAAAUCAAUAGUUUUUUUGUUUGCUUAUUCAUUUUUUAGAACAAGUCUCUAAAUUACUUACAAGAUUGACUCUUUCUGACGUAUUAAAAUUCUAGAAUUUAGCCCAUCCAGGUAAAUACAGAGGUCUUCAGCAAAUGUACCUUUCUCAAUAUUACAGUCUCAAAAGAGUCUCUCAUUAAAAACCAAUACUCAUUCCCUUUUGUUUUUCUGAAGAUGUAAAUGAUUGAUUGGCAAGCAAUUUUAAAUAUCUUGUUUAUAAUUAUGGGACUGUACAUUGAUGGUUUUAUUAUUAUAGGUAGCAGUUCAGAGUAUCUCUUGGGAGUCCAGGAAGUUGUUGGACUGCUAUUGGGUGCUCUUACAUAUGUUUUCAGAGCUUAAUUUCCCCUUUGGUGCAGUGGAUUUAAGAAUACUACCUAUCAGGACUUGGGGGAAAAUUAUAUGUUUGCAAUACCACUGCCAUGUGCUUGGUGACAUAAUAGCUUCGUACAUGGGAGAUGUCAUUAUUUAUAUGAUUAUAAAUUAGAAUGUGUUAUCGCUAUUUUUUCUGCUCAUUUUAUCUUUCUUGUUUUCUUCUUUGCUUUGUUCUUCCUCACUGAUUAAAAACGAGGUCUGUUUUGAAUAACGGUACUUUGACCAGAAACAUUAUGAGGAGGACUUUUGUUUGUUUGUUUGUGAUUUUUAAGUAACAGGGAAACUGAGACCUAGAGUUUAAAUAACUUGACCAAAAUCAACCAGCUGAUUGUGACAGAGAAGAAUAUGAACACAGGAUUCUGGUCGCCAAUGCCAUUUUCUUAGGUUUAUGCUCCUCUGAUUAUUCUUGGACUCAAGAUAAAGAGUUAUUGGAUUUUGAAGUUGAAAACUGAUAUAGGGGGAAAAAUGUAUAAUUCACUGCUGUUCAUUUGGUGGAAAACCAUCCAGCUGAUUGAUUGGUAGAGCCCUAUGUCUCUUUGUUAAUAGUGUUUGGCUGUUGGGUUCAUUAAUAUUUCUGCUAGAUGCAAAAUAUUAUAUAUAGAAUGGACAAACAGCA
Bubalus bubalis (water buffalo) is the source of this 1696-nucleotide long non-coding RNA. RefSeq lists it as uncharacterized. Lineage: Eukaryota; Metazoa; Chordata; Mammalia; Artiodactyla; Bovidae. The transcript has 3 exons. The record is from RefSeq and is a predicted model, not a curated record.